AGUGAACGCUGGCGGUAGGCCUAACACAUGCAAGUCGAACGGCAGCACAGUAAGAGCUUGCUCUUACGGGUGGCGAGUGGCGGACGGGUGAGGAAUACAUCGGAAUCUACUUUUUCGUGGGGGAUAACGUGGGGAAACUUACGCUAAUACCGCAUACGACCUACGGGUGAAAGCAGGGGAUCUUCGGACCUUGCGCGAUUGAAUGAGCCGAUGUCGGAUUAGCUAGUUGGCGGGGUAAAGGCCCACCAAGGCGACGAUCCGUAGCUGGUCUGAGAGGAUGAUCAGCCACACUGGAACUGAGACACGGUCCAGACUCCUACGGGAGGCAGCAGUGGGGAAUAUUGGACAAUGGGCGCAAGCCUGAUCCAGCUAUACCGCGGGGGUGAAGAAGGCCUUCGGGUUGUAAAGCCCUUUUGUUGGGAAAGAAAAGCAGCAGGUUAAUACCCCGCUGUUCUGACGGUACCCAAAGAAUAAGCACCGGCUAACUUCGUG
RNAcentral lists this ribosomal RNA (492 nucleotides) under uncultured bacterium. RNAcentral's name for it is "partial 16S ribosomal RNA". It matches the Rfam family "Bacterial small subunit ribosomal RNA", at positions 29 to 507 of the family's 1533-position model. The record is from RNAcentral.